UCUCUUUCUACAUUUCUUUUUCUACAUAUGUUUAGCAGGAAGAGAGCAAGAUGAGUGUCAUGAUUUAUUCUAUGUUGAUAAGGUAGGACUAGCUGCUAAUUCUUCACGAGGACAGUCACACGGUCCAUUUGAUAAGGAUUAGCUACGCUGUGACUACUGUGGAAAAACUCGGCAUACUAAGGAGCACUACUGGAAACUGCAUGGUCACCCCACUAAAGGGCGUA
Molecule: unclassified non-coding RNA, 224 nt
Filed under: Hevea brasiliensis (rubber tree)
Lineage: Eukaryota; Viridiplantae; Streptophyta; Magnoliopsida; Malpighiales; Euphorbiaceae
Source: RNAcentral